Molecule: transfer RNA, 86 nt
Filed under: Aliterella atlantica CENA595
Lineage: Bacteria; Bacillati; Cyanobacteriota; Cyanophyceae; Chroococcidiopsidales; Aliterellaceae
Description: tRNA-Tyr
Rfam family: tRNA
About the family: Transfer RNA (tRNA) molecules are approximately 80 nucleotides in length.
Source: RNAcentral
GGGUCGAUGUCCGAGUGGUUAAUGGAGACGGACUGUAAAUCCGUUGGCUUGCGCCUACGCUGGUUCAAAUCCAGCUCGGCCCACCU